RNAcentral lists this long non-coding RNA (302 nucleotides) under Gossypium raimondii (Peruvian cotton). Its description in RNAcentral is "long non-coding RNA (GRAI_LNC009999)". The record is from RNAcentral. Lineage: Eukaryota; Viridiplantae; Streptophyta; Magnoliopsida; Malvales; Malvaceae.
AAAGGGGGAGAGCUUCUGGAAGUUUUUUUUUGUUUUUUUUUUAAAAUAGGUUUCAAAUGAAAUUUUUUGAAGAAUGGGGGGUAUUUAUAGGGCAUCAAAACGGCGUCGUUUUGGAAAGCCCCCAGACGUCCAAAACGGCGUCGUUUUGAGUAACCGACCCGACUCCGACCCGAUCCACUUUAGGAUCCGCGUGUUUUUGAGCGGAGGGGCAAAUUGCGCUUUUAGCCCCUCCGCCUUUUAACAUAUUUCCAAUUAAGUUUUUUUUUGUUUUUUAAUUCGGCCUUUAAAUUAUUUUAAAUUCC